RNAcentral lists this transfer RNA (83 nucleotides) under Candidatus Magasanikiibacteriota bacterium. Its description in RNAcentral is "tRNA-Leu". It matches the Rfam family "tRNA". From Rfam's summary of the family: Transfer RNA (tRNA) molecules are approximately 80 nucleotides in length. The record is from RNAcentral. Lineage: Bacteria; Candidatus Magasanikiibacteriota.
GCCGUGGUGGCGAAAUGGUAUACGCUGGGGACUUAAAAUCCCCCGUCCGUAAGGGCAUGCGGGUUCGAGUCCCGCCCGCGGCA